This 484-nucleotide ribosomal RNA is filed under the name uncultured bacterium. RNAcentral's name for it is "partial 16S ribosomal RNA". It matches the Rfam family "Bacterial small subunit ribosomal RNA", at positions 30 to 507 of the family's 1533-position model. The record is from RNAcentral.
AUUGAACGCUGGCGGCAGGCCUAACACAUGCAAGUCGAGCGGAUGAAGUUAGCUUUUUUCUGGAUUCAGCGGCCGACGGGUGAGUAAUUCCUAGGAAUCUGCCUUGUCUUGGGGGAUAACGUCCGGAUACGGGCGCUAAUCCCGCAUCCGUUCUGAGCGUUAAACUCGGGGUUUUUCGUACCUCACGCUAUCAGAUUAGCCUAGGUCGGAUUAGCUAGUUGGUUGGUUAAAGGCCUACCAAGGCGACGAUCAGUACCUUGUCUGAGAGGAGGAUCAGUCAGACUGGAACUGAGAAACGGUCCAGACUCCAACGGGAGGAAGAAGAGGGGAAUAUUGGACAAUGGGCAAAGGCCUGAUGCAGAAAGGCGGGGUGUGUGAAGAAGGUUUUCGGAUGGAAAAGCACGUUAAGUUGGGAGGAAGGGCAGUAAGGUAAAAACUUGAUGUAUUGACGGUACCAACAGAAUAAGCACCGGCUAACUACGUG